GAUGAACGCUGGCGGCGUGCCUAAUACAUGCAAGUCGAGCGAACGGACGAGAAGCUUGCUUCUCUGUUGUUAGCGGCGGACGGGAGAGUAACACGUGGAUAGCCUACCUAUAAGACUGGGAUCACUACGGGAAACCGGAGCUAAUCCCGGAUAAUAUUUUGAACCGUAUGGUUCAAAAGUGAAAGACGGUCUUGCUGUCACUACUAGCUGGAUCCCCGCUGCAUUAGCUAGUUGGUAAGUUCACGGCUUAUCACGGCGACGAUGCAUAGCCGACGGGAGAGAGUGAUCGGCCACACGGGAAGUGGAACGCGGUCCAGACUCCUACGGGACGCAGCAGUAUGGAAUCGGCCGCAAUGGGGGAGAGCAUGACGGAGCAACGCCACGUGAGUUGUGAAGGCCUUCGGUGCGUAAAACUCUGUUAUGAGUGGAAAACAGAUGUGGAAGUAGCUGAAGAGAGCGUGACGGUACCUAGUCAGAAAGCCACGGCUAACUACGUG
This 497-nucleotide ribosomal RNA is filed under the name uncultured bacterium. RNAcentral describes it as "partial 16S ribosomal RNA". It matches the Rfam family "Bacterial small subunit ribosomal RNA", at positions 28 to 507 of the family's 1533-position model. The record is from RNAcentral.